Molecule: ribosomal RNA, 599 nt
Filed under: Dialister sp. oral taxon A97
Lineage: Bacteria; Bacillati; Bacillota; Negativicutes; Veillonellales; Veillonellaceae
Description: bacterial SSU rRNA
Rfam family: Bacterial small subunit ribosomal RNA
Source: RNAcentral
CCUGACGGAGCAACGCCGCGUGAGUGAUGACGGCCUUCGGGUUGUAAAACUCUGUGAUCCGGGACGAAAAGGCAGAGUGCGAAGAACAAACUGCAUUGACGGUACCGGAAAAGCAAGCCACGGCUAACUACGUGCCAGCAGCCGCGGUAAUACGUAGGUGGCAAGCGUUGUCCGGAAUUAUUGGGCGUAAAGCGCGCGCAGGCGGCUUCCCAAGUCCCUCUUAAAAGUGCGGGGCUUAACCCCGUGAUGGGAAGGAAACUGGGAAGCUGGAGUAUCGGAGAGGAAAGUGGAAUUCCUAGUGUAGCGGUGAAAUGCGUAGAGAUUAGGAAGAACACCGGUGGCGAAGGCGACUUUCUGGACGAAAACUGACGCUGAGGCGCGAAAGCGUGGGGAGCAAACAGGAUUAGAUACCCUGGUAGUCCACGCCGUAAACGAUGGAUACUAGGUGUAGGAGGUAUCGACCCCUCCUGUGCCGGAGUUAACGCAAUAAGUAUUCCGCCUGGGAAGUACGAUCGCAAGAUUAAAACUCAAAGGAAUUGACGGGGGGCCCGCACAAGCGGUGGAGUAUGUGGUUUAAUUCGACGCAACGCGAAGAACCU